This 502-nucleotide ribosomal RNA is filed under the name uncultured bacterium. RNAcentral describes it as "bacterial SSU rRNA". It matches the Rfam family "Bacterial small subunit ribosomal RNA", at positions 17 to 518 of the family's 1533-position model. The record is from RNAcentral.
UCCUGGCUCAGGAUGAACGCUGGCGGCGUGCCUAACACAUGCAAGUCGAACGGACCUAUUAUUUAACAGAGACUUCGGUUGAAGUUGGUUUAGGUUAGUGGCGGACGGGUGAGUAACGCGUGGAGAACCUGCCCUGUACUGGGGGAUAACAGUGAGAAAUCACUGCUAAUACCGCAUAAGCGCACGAAACCGCAUGGUUUUGUGUGAAAAACUCCGGUGGUACAGGAUGGCUCCGCGUUGGAUUAGCCUGUUGGCGGGGUAACGGCCCACCAAAGCUACGAUCCAUAGCCGGCCUGAGAGGGUGAACGGCCACAUUGGGACUGAGACACGGCCCAGACUCCUACGGGAGGCAGCAGUGGGGAAUAUUGCACAAUGGGGGGAACCCUGAUGCAGCGACGCCGCGUGAAGGAAGAAGUAUCUCGGUAUGUAAACUUCUAUCAGCAGGGAAGAAAAUGACGGUACCUGACUAAGAAGCCCCGGCUAACUACGUGCCAGCAGCUGC